AUACGUAGGGGGCGAGCGUUGUCCGGAUUUACUGGGCGUAAAGGGUGAGUAGGCGGUUGUAUAUGUCAGGUGUAAAAGGCUAUGGCUUAACCAUGGUUAGCACUUGAAACUGUACAACUUGAGUGCAGGAGAGGUAAGUGGAAUUCCUAGUGUAGCGGUGAAAUGCGUAGAUAUUAGGAGGAACACCAGUGGCGAAGGCGGCUUGCUGGGCUUUUACUGACGCUGAGGCUCGAAAGUGU
This 239-nucleotide ribosomal RNA is filed under the name uncultured bacterium. RNAcentral's name for it is "partial 16S ribosomal RNA". It matches the Rfam family "Bacterial small subunit ribosomal RNA", at positions 523 to 762 of the family's 1533-position model. The record is from RNAcentral.